This 497-nucleotide ribosomal RNA is filed under the name uncultured bacterium. Its description in RNAcentral is "partial 16S ribosomal RNA". It matches the Rfam family "Bacterial small subunit ribosomal RNA", at positions 28 to 507 of the family's 1533-position model. The record is from RNAcentral.
GACGAACGCUGGCGGCGUGCCUAAUACAUGCAAGUUGAGCGAUGAAGAUUGGUGCUUGCACCAAUUUGAAGAGCAGCGAACGGGUGAGUAACGCGUGGGGAAUCUGCCUUUGAGCGGGGGACAACAUUUGGAAACGAGUGCUAAUACCGCAUAACAACUUUAAACAUAAGUUUUAAGUUUGAAAGAUGCAAUUGCAUCACUCAAAGAUGAUCCCGCGUUGUAUUAGCUAGUUGGUGAGGUAAAGGCUCACCAAGGCGAUGAUACAUAGCCGACCUGAGAGGGUGAUCGGCCACAUUGGGACUGAGACACGGCCCAAACGCCUACGGGAGGCAGCAGUAGGGAAUCUUCGGCAAUGGACGAAAGUCUGACCGAGCAACGCCGCGUGAGUGAAGAAGGUUUUCGGAUCGUAAAACUCUGUUGGUAGAGAAGAACGUUGGUGAGAGUGGAAAGCUCAUCAAGUGACGGUAACUACCCAGAAAGGGACGGCUAACUACGUG